UAGUCCACGCCGUAAACGAUGGGCACUAGAUGUGGGGAGUAUCGACUCUCUCCGUGUCGCAGCUAACGCAUUAAGUGCCCCGCCUGGGGAGUACGGCCGCAAGGCUGAAACUCAAAGGAAUUGACGGGGGCCCGCACAAGCGGUGGAGCAUGUGGUUUAAUUCGAUGCAACGCGAAGAACCUUACCGGGGUUUGACAUGUACAGGACAGGUGUAGAAACACACCCUCCCUUCGGGGCCUGUAUGCAGGUGCUGCAUGGCUGUCGUCAGCUCGUGUCGUGAGAUGUUGGGUUAAGUCCCGCAACGAGCGCAACCCUCGUCCUUAGUUGCCAGCGAGUAAAGUCGGGCACUCUAAGGAGACUGCCGGUGAUAAGCCAGAGGAAGGUGGGGAUGAUGUCAAGUCCUCAUGGCCCUUACGCCCCGGGGCUACACACGUGCUACAAUGGGCUGGUACAGCGGGUUGCAAGACCGCGAGGGUGGGAGCCAAUCCCUUAAAA
This 495-nucleotide ribosomal RNA is filed under the name uncultured bacterium. Its description in RNAcentral is "bacterial SSU rRNA". It matches the Rfam family "Bacterial small subunit ribosomal RNA", at positions 791 to 1281 of the family's 1533-position model. The record is from RNAcentral.